AUGGAUUACAAAGGGGGCGAGGAUAUUGGUGAAACAGUGCGCACUGGGAGGGGUGUGUGCGGCUCGUAUGAUCUUGGCGGCGAAGGGAUGGAUGAUUCCUGCGAGAUAGACGAUUCAUAUAUUGCGUCUGAUGCCGGGAACGAGGGUGCGGACGAGGAGGGCGUGGGAGUAACCAAUACGAAUCAAUCUUCUUGGACCAGGAGGGUCAGAGUUGGGAAGGCAAAGGAUGAGAGGGAGCCGAGCCCUUCAAGGAUGCCUCCCCUUGAAGCUUCUGUCCGUGCAUAUGUCGAUAAAAAAUCAGGAAAUGUUGGCAAUCCAUCGAUUGGGACUAGUUUUGAUUCUGUCGAAGAAGGCUACGAGUUUUACAGUAUGUAUUCCUGGGAGGCCGUCUGA
Molecule: ribosomal RNA, 393 nt
Filed under: Triticum aestivum (bread wheat)
Lineage: Eukaryota; Viridiplantae; Streptophyta; Magnoliopsida; Poales; Poaceae
Description: partial small subunit ribosomal RNA
Source: RNAcentral